Molecule: unclassified non-coding RNA, 253 nt
Filed under: uncultured Gammaproteobacteria bacterium
Lineage: Bacteria; Pseudomonadati; Pseudomonadota; Gammaproteobacteria
Description: contains 16S-23S intergenic spacer region
Rfam family: Bacterial small subunit ribosomal RNA
Source: RNAcentral
UACAGAGGGUGCAAGCGUUAAUCGGAAUUACUGGGCGUAAAGCGCACGUAGGCGGAUAACUAAGUCGGAUGUGAAAGCCCUGGGCUUAACCUGGGAACUGCACCCGAUACUGGUUAUCUAGAGUAUGGUAGAGGAAAGUGGAACUCCCGGUGUAGCGGUGAAAUGCGUAGAUAUCGGGAAGAACACCAGUGGCGAAGGCGACUUUCUGGACCAAUACUGACGCUCAGGUGCGAAAGCGUGGGGAGCAAACAGG